Molecule: transfer RNA, 90 nt
Filed under: Fusarium tricinctum
Lineage: Eukaryota; Fungi; Ascomycota; Sordariomycetes; Hypocreales; Nectriaceae
Rfam family: tRNA
About the family: Transfer RNA (tRNA) molecules are approximately 80 nucleotides in length. Their secondary structure includes four short double-helical elements and three loops (D, anti-codon, and T loops).
Source: Rfam by way of RNAcentral
GGCCGCGUGGCCUAAUGGCUAAGGCGCUAGAUUUCGGUUCACUGUCAUCCAAUUCUCUAGAGAUUCCAGGUUCGACUCCUGGCGUGGUCG